RNAcentral lists this ribosomal RNA (614 nucleotides) under Cyphellophora deltoidea. RNAcentral describes it as "eukaryotic LSU rRNA". It matches the Rfam family "Eukaryotic large subunit ribosomal RNA", at positions 76 to 702 of the family's 3401-position model. The record is from RNAcentral. Lineage: Eukaryota; Fungi; Ascomycota; Eurotiomycetes; Chaetothyriales; Cyphellophoraceae.
UGCCUCAGUAACGGCGAGUGAAGCGGCAACAGCUCAAAUUUGAAAUCUGGCCUCUUUGGGGUCCGAGUUGUAAUUUGUAGAGGAUGUUUCGGGCACGGUCCCGGGCUUAAAUUUCUUGGAACAGAAUGUCAGAGAGGGUGAGAGUCCCGUCUGGAGCCCGCGGCACGGCCUAUGUGAAACUCCUUCGACGAGUCGAGUUGUUUGGGAAUGCAGCUCUAAAUGGGUGGUAAAUUUCAUCUAAAGCUAAAUAUUGGCCAGAGACCGAUAGCGCACAAGUAGAGUGAUCGAAAGAUGAAAAGCACUUUGAAAAGAGAGUUAAACAGUAUGUGAAAUUGUUGAAAGGGAAGCGCUGGCAACCAGACUUGUCUGUCGUGGCUCCCCCUCGCUUCUGCUUGGGUUACUCCACGGCGUGCAGGCCAACAUCGGUUUCGGGGGCCGGUUAAAGGCCCUGGGAAUGUACCUACUCCUCGGGGUAGACUUAUAGCCCAGGGUGUCAUGCGGCCUCCCGGGACCGAGGAACGCGCUUCGGCUCGGAUGUUGGCGUAAUGGUUGUCAGCGACCCGUCUUGAAACACGGACCAAGGAGUCUAACAUCUAUGCGAGUGUUAGGGUGUC